GAUGAACGCUGGCGGCGUGCCUAAUACAUGCAAGUCGAGCGAACGGACGAGAAGCUUGCUUUUCUGAUGUUAGCGGCGGACGGGUGAGUAACACGUGGAUAACCUACCUAUAAGACUGGGAUAACUUCGGGAAACCGGAGCUAAUACCGGAUAAUAUUUUGAACCGCAUGGUUCAAAAGUGAAAGACGGUCUUUCUGUCACUUAUAGAUGGAUCCGCGCUGCAUUAGCUAGUUGGUAAGGUAACGGCUUACCAAGGCAACGAUGCAUAGCCGACCUGAGAGGGUGGUCGGCCACACUGGAACUGAGACACCGUCCAGACUCCUACGGGAGGCAGCAGUAGGGAAUCUUCCGCAAUGGGCGAAAGCCUGACGGAGCAACGCCGCGUGAGUGAUGAAGGUCUUCGGAUCGUAAAACUCUGUUAUUAGGGAAGAACAUAUGUGUAAGUAACUGUGCACAUCUUGACGGUACCUAAUCAGAAAGCCACGGCUAACUACGUG
Molecule: ribosomal RNA, 497 nt
Filed under: uncultured bacterium
Lineage: Bacteria
Description: partial 16S ribosomal RNA
Rfam family: Bacterial small subunit ribosomal RNA
Source: RNAcentral